RNAcentral lists this ribosomal RNA (468 nucleotides) under uncultured bacterium. RNAcentral describes it as "partial 16S ribosomal RNA". It matches the Rfam family "Bacterial small subunit ribosomal RNA", at positions 28 to 507 of the family's 1533-position model. The record is from RNAcentral.
GACGAACGCUGGCGGCGUGCUUAACACAUGCAAGUCGAACGGAAAGGCCCUGCUUUUGUGGGGUGCUCGAGUGGCGAACGGGUGAGUAACACGUGAGUAACCUGCCCUUGACUUUGGGAUAACUCCAGGAAACUGGGGCUAAUACCGGAUAGGAUCUUCUGCUGCAUGUUGGGGGUUGGAAAGUUUCGGCGGUUGGGGAUGGACUCGAGGCUUAUCCGCUUGUUGGUGGAGUAGUGGCUUACCAAGGCUUUGACGGCUAGCCGGCAUGAGAGGGUUACCGGCCACAUUGGGACUGAGAUAGGGCGCAGACGCCUACGGGAGGCAGCAGGGGGGAAUAUUGCACAAUGGGCGGAAGCGUGAGGCAGCAACGCCGCGUGCGGGGUGACGGCCUUCGGGUUGUAAACCGCUUUCGCCUGUAACGAGGCGUGAGUGACGGUAAUGGGUAAAGAAGCACCGGCUAACUACGUG